Molecule: transfer RNA, 74 nt
Filed under: Bacteroides sp.
Lineage: Bacteria; Pseudomonadati; Bacteroidota; Bacteroidia; Bacteroidales; Bacteroidaceae
Description: tRNA-Gln
Rfam family: tRNA
About the family: Transfer RNA (tRNA) molecules are approximately 80 nucleotides in length. Their secondary structure includes four short double-helical elements and three loops (D, anti-codon, and T loops).
Source: RNAcentral
UGCCUUGUGGUGUAAUGGUAGCACGCAGGUUUCUGGCACCUUUAGUGAGGGUUCGAAUCCUUCCAAGGCAACCA